Rhododendron vialii is the source of this 2787-nucleotide long non-coding RNA. RefSeq lists it as uncharacterized. The transcript has 3 exons. NCBI's taxonomy places the organism in Eukaryota, Viridiplantae, Streptophyta, Magnoliopsida, Ericales, Ericaceae. The record is from RefSeq and is a predicted model, not a curated record.
UGACUUUUGUGACAUCUAUAUUAAUUUUCCACCCUCCACUUUCCCUCUUCGUCUCUCUCCCACUGUCUAUCUGGCUCUCUCCAUUUACGAUAGAUUGCAGCAAGUCCUGUUGCCGUUGGGCUCUUGGUCUGUGACGAAGACGUUGAUUCAGAAAUCAGUGGUCAACAAAGUCGCAAUCUGCCCCUUCUCCUAUCAGGGUAGAAGGUUGAGAACCAGUAUAAGAUUAAUUUCUACAUUUUCUCGAUACAGAAGAUGAUGGUGGACGAUUUCUACACAAGUAUUUUUAGUUAUUUUUUUCCCUGUUUCCUUAAGGUGAAGUCUAGCCAUUAACUACCUUUUCUUAGAUUUCCACAAAACGAUCACCAAGUAGUGCCAUUAUCACCACCUGUUUGAUAAAAGGCCACAUUGGAACAUUAAUGAUAAAAAGUUAAAAAAAAACUAGACUGUCAUUCUCUGUAAAAACUGGUUUUUCUCUCUCUUCACUACUAUGGACAGAUUUUCUUGAUAUAGAUAUAUGGGUUUUGUAGUAGAUGUUCUUUGAAUCUUUUAGAUCAUUCAUGUGUUUGUCAUGACCAAGUUUCUGUUGAACUUAAUUAUACAUCGCUAAUCAUGCUAAGUGUUCAAUAGGUGUCUACCCAAGAAGAUACCAGGGAAAAAAAGGUUUGGGGGUUGAUAUCCUUUCACAUUUGAGUCUCUGAACUAUUAUUCUCCCUCUUCUUUUUUCUUUUUUUUCCCCUCUUUUGAAUGGAGGAAAAAGCUUCAUAGGAGGCAUCUAUGGAAUACAAGGAAAGGAGAUGGGACCCAAUCAACUGGAAUGAAUCCGUUCAAUUGACAAGUGGCUACUCUAUCAGAAUUUUUAUUAGACGAAAAGAGAGAAAUGCAAAUACCUUUAGCCAACUGAUACAUAGCCCCAAAAAUAGAAGCACAGUCCCAGGGAGGCACCUUCUCUGAAAUGCGGAGGUGGAGUACCCUUCUGUUGUCACAUAGAAUCUCCACAUUUGAGAGAUUUCUAGUGGGCACCAUUUGGCAGGCAAGCCUCACAGCUAAGGCCUCACAUUCGGAUCUGGUUGUGUUUUUCUUACAGUUUACUUUGUAACUAUAUUGUCGCCAAACAUAUGGCCAUAAUUUUUAGCUAAUUUUGUGUAUGGGUUUGACUUUAUUAUUAAGCGUUUUUGAUGUUAUUGUUGAACUUGGAUUCUGUUAAAGCAAAUUGUAUUAGUUUCAAUUAUGUAGUUUGGAUUCUAUUGAUGCAAUUUGAUAUUUCAAUUAUAGUCCCCCCCAAGAUUAGUCGAGGUGCAAUUAAGCUGGUCCAAACACUUGGUUAUCAUAAAAAAAUACAAUUUGGUAUCUGAUGUGUCUUGGACUCUUGGAUCGUUGUUGUAGUGCCGUUGGCACAGUCAAUUCGCUAGUUUCUCACGACUUCAACAAACCCCACCCCCACACCCCCCCUUCAUUUAGGGUUUAAUCUCAGACAAAGUUCAAAUGGAAAUGCAGUAGCAAACGCCUUGAUAGUUUUUGGAAAUGCUGUACAGCAGUAGCUUUUGGAACAUUGGUGUAGUAGUUUAUAGUUUCUGCAUUAGUUUCUGAACUUAUUGGUCUGUGUAGUGAGAAGUGGGAAAACUUUGGUUGCAGCAUUAUGUUUUAGCUGCAGCAUUCUAUAUUGUAUCUGCAGCAUUUGACCUGUUUAGGCGCUGUUGGAACUGCAGUAGUUGAGAUGGUGAACUGCAGUAGUUAUGAAGCUAUGACUGGUUUAUGCACUCUAUUUAUGACUAUAUUCGAAGCAUUUUGAUCUCUGAAUGUAUGCAGCAAUAGUUGUGACUGGUUUUUUGAUUGUGAAGCAUUCGAACUGUUUUUUGGAGCUGUUUUUGUGACUGGUUUUUGCACUGUUUGUGAUUGGUUUUUGCACUCUGUUUUGUGACUGGUUUUUGCUCUCUGGACUUGUGAAAAUGCAACUCUUUGAGCUUAUGAAUUGCAAGUCUCUGAGGGUAGGAGGAAGAGGUAGUGGAGUAGUACUCUGUUUUUAACUCUAUGUGUGAGAGUAUAUAUAGCUCAAAUUGGAGGGAAACCCAUCUGCUUUGGUGCCAGAUUGAAUCAAUUGUUGUCUGCCUCCAUAUGUCAGAGAGUAUUGUUUACCCAGGAUUGUAUCCUACUCAAAAUUUUCUCCUUAAGGUGGCUGCAAUCUGCUUCUUUCAACCUUGUUGAUAUCCAUGGAACCCCCAAGUAUUUGACAGGGAGGGAUCCCUCAGGAUUCAUAGGGAUGAUGUUACCUAAAGAGGUCUUCACUUCCUCAUUAACACCAGAAUAGAAAAUUGAACUCUUUAGCAAGUUGGGCUGAAGGCCUGAGAGCAAGUGAAAAUCCUUCAAAACCUCUGCUAUUAGAUGAAAAGAUCUUUCAUCAGCGCCAGCAACGAUAAACAAGUUAUCCUCAAACACCAGGUGAGAAAUGAGUGGAAUGUUUUGAUUCUUCGGGAUAUGAAGACAGAGGAGGUGUAAAGUUCUUCAAGAGCCAUGGGUGAAUCAACCGGUCGGCGUUUACUCCACUAGGGAGCUGUACUUUUCUUUAGUUGUUUCUUAGUUGUUAGUUUUUUCCAGAUUUUAGCUCUGCUUAAUGUUUACUGCGGGCUUGAGUUGGGGUCUGUUGGGGCUCUAUACUACCUGGACCUAGAUUGGAUCCUAAUCUAGCCGUUCUGUCGGUCCUACUUCUGCAGGGGGUGCCUGUGUCGAAAUCUUGAUAGAUUUUGUUCAUUCUUGUAUCAUUGAUGGAAUCUGUACUGCCUUCGGACUUUG